CCCUUGUGGAGGAGGACGCCGAAGGUGGGGCUAAUGACUGGGGUGAAGUCGUAACAAGGUAGCCGUACCGGAAGGUGCGGCUGGAUCACCUCCUAACAGGGAGACAACAAAAUGUUUAAUAUUAUUAUUUUGUCACCUUAGGUCGAUCGGUAUCUCACGUUCUUAAUUUAUUAAGAAUUUCAUUUUCUAAGUUUUUCUAGGUCACACCCAUUAUUUUUCCUGGGCCAUUAGCUCAGGUGGUUAGAGCGCACCCCUGAUAAGGGUGAGGUCCCUGGUUCAAGUCCAGGAUGGCCCAUAUCUCUAUGUUGGGGGUAUAGCUCAGUUGGUAGAGCGCCUGCUUUGCAAGCAGGAUGUCAGCGGUUCGAGUCCGCUUACCUCCACUGAUUACCACCUCUUCCAUGAUUUGUAGAAAUGAAAUAUUACGGCCAGUCCGAAGUUGUUACUUUAACCCUUGUGGAGGAGGACGCCGAAGGUGGGGCUAAUGACUGGGGUGAAGUCGUAACAAGGUAGCCGUACCGGAAGGUGCGGCUGGAUCACCUCCUAACAGGGAGACAACAAAAUGUUUAAUAUUAUUAUUUGUGCGAAUGCAUUAAUAACAAUUCUAUUAAGCUGAUGCUUCAAUUUUUUGAAGUUAUUGGUCAAGCUACAAAGGGCUCACGGAGGAUACCUAGGCACACAGAGGCGAUGAGGUCAAGCUGUUUCCUGAAGGGUGAGGUCCCUGGUUCAAGUCCAGGAUGGCCCAUAUCUCUAUGUUGGGGGUAUAGCUCAGUUGGUAGAGCGCCUGCUUUGCAAGCAGGAUGUCAGCGGUUCGAGUCCGCUUACCUCCACUGAUUACCACCUCUUCCAUGAUUUGUAGAAAGGAAAUUUUUUGUGUUGUGAUCAUUAUUCUGAACGAAUCUAGCUUCCUAAUGAACCCAUUAAGAUGCUGGACUCAUUGAAUUAAUUUCAUUGUUUUCAGAGAACCUUGACAACUGCAUAGAUUAUUUUAAAGACAAUAAGCAUCUUUUAUGGUGCAGAUUUAUUAUUUGUGCGAAUGCAUUAAUAACAAUUCUAUUAAGCUGAUGCUUCAAUUUUUGAAGUUAUUGGUCAAGCUACAAAGGGCUCACGGAGGA
This 1112-nucleotide transfer RNA is filed under the name uncultured Prochlorococcus sp. Its description in RNAcentral is "partial may contain 16S ribosomal RNA, 16S-23S ribosomal RNA intergenic spacer, and 23S ribosomal RNA". The stretch from base 1 to 96 matches the Rfam family "Bacterial small subunit ribosomal RNA", at positions 1438 to 1533 of the family's 1533-position model. Lineage: Bacteria; Bacillati; Cyanobacteriota; Cyanophyceae; Synechococcales; Prochlorococcaceae. The record is from RNAcentral.